Molecule: long non-coding RNA, 1592 nt
Organism: Equus asinus (donkey)
Lineage: Eukaryota; Metazoa; Chordata; Mammalia; Perissodactyla; Equidae
Source: Ensembl
GACCUCACAAUGACCUCCACGGUUGCUAGGCGUCGCGUCCGCCGGGCUCUGAGGGAGCGGGCGCGCCCCCUGGCGGUGGGCUGGCGCAGGUGCAGUGGCAGGCUGUGGCAGGGGCUCCAGUGGGAGUGGCGGAUGAAGGGAUGGAUGCGUGGGUGGAUGGCCGGCCGGAAGGACGGAUGGAUGCCUAUACAAAGGGAAGGAAAGCAGGACUGAAGGAAAGAAGGAAGCAAGGAAAUAAGGAUGGGGAGAUGGCUGGCUGGAGCUUCCGUGAGUGGGGGGAAGGCUGGCAGGGCCACGCUGAGCGGGCAGGACCAGGAGCCUAGCGGUGGUAUCCGUUCAUCAGGUCGGCUUUGAGGGACUGUGCCUGGGACUGUCCCGGAAGGGGCCUGCCCUGUGACCCCGAGAUGGCGCUGCCCGUGUGCUUCUUGUCAGCUUAGCUCUCUCAGGGACUUCCGUGCCUCAGGACCUGGAGCUACAGUCCCGAGCCCCACCAGCUGCCCGUGUGGGUGCAGGGAUGGGGUUUUCCCGCUGGGCCCAGGCCUCCGUGCAGUCCUCAUUCCUCCCCCUGACUUUGUGGCCGUGUGCCUGUCUUCGGCUGUGUGACUGAGUGUGAUACUUUGUUGUUCCUUAUCGGCUUUCCUGGCAUUUCUGAAGGUGUGCCUGACGCUUGGGUCAGGCACUUGGAAGCAGCCCCUCUCUGUCCCGAGAGACAGCUUGCCAAACCCCAGAACCUGAAAUGUCCUAGAUCAGAAACUUGUCUUCGAGUUGGAGGAAAGGUCCCCAAAGAGGCCGAAGCAGGGACUCGUGGCUCUCCUGCACUCCCCCAGCCCUCUUCCCCCAGCGCUCAAAUCGGACCUCACCAGAAUCAGGUGCCAUGGUCAGGAAGAGCAAAGUCACUCUGGGACCACGAUAGCAUGGACUUAACUGCACACGGGAAGGAGAUCAAGGCUGUUCCUUCUGCCAGCUGGAUCCACCCGGGUCUCGCUUCCUCCCUCACAAGACAAAACACGGCCUCCCAUCACGACUUGAACCUUUCCGUCCAGGAGGAGGAAAAACCGAGUCAAGACGGAAGGCCGAAAAAGACUUGCGGACAGAACGUGGCCACGCUCGGCGGGCCAGCGAGGCAACGGGUACCCCACCCGGCAGGCUCUUGCUCCAGAGGGUCCCCGCCCUGGUCUGGCCGCUUCCUGCUUCUUAGGGCCCUCCUCUCUGGAGAGAUCCACCACGAGGGACGAGAAGGACCCUCCCUUGGCCCACUCCCCUAGUGCACCCGAUGCGGGCAGAGGGCCAGGAGCGACACAGGGGUCGCCCAAUUUCCCAAAGCGAGGCUGGCCGAGCUUGCCCCGGGGGCCAAGACUCUGUCAGCCGGACAACUCCUGAGGAAAGGGCCCUGGCUCCUGAAAGGCUGUGGGAAGUGCCAUCGCCCCUGCAGAAAAGGAAGGAGCCCGAAACUGGUGUGCCUCAGCCGGCCAGGGAGUACCCUCCACGGCCAGGUCCCCGCCGGCCAUACCCAGCCACCCGGGUCCAAAUGGGGGACCACAGAGGUGCCUGGCGUGCCCACGUCUCACCGGCAACUAGGGCCGCCACACCGG